Molecule: ribosomal RNA, 2086 nt
Filed under: marine metagenome
Description: bacterial LSU rRNA
Rfam family: Archaeal large subunit ribosomal RNA
Source: RNAcentral
UGUAACUUGGGGCAAGGGGCCAAAAGCCAAUCUAGUUCGGUGAUAGCUAGUUCCUACCGAAGCGGGUCGUAGCCCGGCCUAGGCAGACGUUGCCAACGCUGUAGAGCACCGAUGUGAAAGUAAGGGAUCGAAAGAUCCUCCUUUCGUUUCGAACUCCGAAGGUGUUGGUGCGGUAGAAGCCUGGAUGCGGGUUUGUGUGGGGUAAGCCUCACAACCGAGAGGGGGACAACCCAGACUGGAGUUAAGGCCCCCAAAUAUCGACUAAGUGUCAAACAAAAGGGCGUCUUUGAGCCAAGACAGCAGGAAGAUAGGCUUAGAACCAGCCACUCUUUAAAGAGUGCGUAACAGCUCACCUGCCGAGCUUGGGGGCCCCGAAAAUGGACGGGGCUAAAGUCGAUUGCCGAUACUCUGGACCACAAGUUAUUCUUGUGUGUGGUAGGUAGGCGUAGAGGUUGGGUAGAAGUAGGGCUGUGAAGUCCUGUGGACCGAUUUCUAUUGUAGAUCCUGGCGGUAGUAGCAGCGUAGUUGGGUGAGAAUCCCGACCACCGUAUGGGCAAGGUUUUCCUGGCAACGCGUCGUCGACCAGGAGUUAGCCGAUCCUAAGUGUAAUCCCAAAGGUUUUACACGAAAAGGGAAACCGGUUAAUAUUCCGGUGCCCUAGAGAUUCCGUGCACUUUGUGCAGAUUUAGCUUCGCUUUCUUCGAGAUAGGGUGAACAAGGUUGUCGCCUUGUUUAAUUGUUCGAGAUUGGGGGAGUGUCGUAAUGACGAGAACCCAUUCGAGGCGAGAAUAGCCGGCCGCAUGGUUGGUUCACUUGACUCUGGGAGACAUUGAAAACGGAGUUAUUGAGGAAUCUUUAGGUUCGUACCCAGAACCGACACAGGUGCCCUAGUUGAGUAGACUUCGGUGUAUCGGGUAUAUAGUAGGCGAGGGAAUUCGGCAAAUUAGCCCCGUACCUUCGGUAUAAGGGGUGCCUGCUAUUUUUGCGAGAAGCAGGGAUAGCAGGUCGCAGUGACAAGGGGGUCCCGACUGUUUAAUAAAAACACAGGAAGCUGCUAGCCCGAAAGGGUGUGUAUAGCUUUUGAAUCCUGGCCAGCAACGGUACCUAAAACCUGGGUUCAACUGGGCUAAGGGCCGUUUAGCGCCGGGAGUAACUCUGACUCUCUUAAGGUAGCCAAAUGCCUUGUCGGGUAAGUUCCGACGUGCAUGAAUAGAACAACGAGGGCCCUACUGUCCCCGUCUACUACCCGGCGAACCCACGUAACGUGGACGAACAGUCCACGAACUUCUAUCGGGAAGAGAAGACCCUGUGGAGCUUUACUGCAGCUUGUUGUUGUGAUACGGCUAUGAUUGCAGAGUGUAGCUGGGAGUUGUUAUGCACAUACUUUUGGGUAUGUGAUAGACAAAAGUGUAACACCAGCCUCUCAUAGUUUUAUCGCUAACCGGGAAACCGGGACACCGGCAGGUGGGCAGUUUGGCUGGGGCGGCACCCCCUUGAAAAAAUAUCGAGGGGGCCCAAAGGUCGGCUCAGGUGGGACAGAAAUCCACCGUAGAGGGCAAGGCUAAAAGCCGGCCUGACUGGGUUCUCAAAAGCACAGAACCCAGGAGCGAAAGCUUGGCCUAGCGAUCCUCCAGGUCCCCACUGUUGGGGGCUGAAGGUGACAGAAAAGUUACCCCAGGGAUAACAGGCUUGUCGCGGGUGAGAGCUCAAAUCGACCCCGCGGAUUGGUACCUCGAUGUCGGCUCUUCCCAUCCUGGUCCUGCAGCAGGGGCCAAGGGUGGGGCUGCUCGCCCAUCAAAGGGGAACGUGAGCUGGGUUUAGACCGUCGUGAGACAGGUCGGCCUCUAUCUGAUAGAAGCGAUGGCCGUCUGAGGGGAAGCUGUCCUCAGUACGAGAGGAACAGGGCAGCGUGGCCUCUGGCGUACCGGUUGUCUGAUAAGGCAGUUGCCGGGCAGCUAAGCUAUUGAGGAUAAGAGCUGAAAGCAUCUAAGCUCGAAGCCUCUCCUGAGAAUAGACCGCCUUCCACAUUUCUACUUCUUUCGGGAAGUAGGUGUGGACGAGAGCUGGGAUAGAAGAUCCCGUUGAU